Non-coding RNA from Acanthosepion pharaonis, 96 nucleotides. The record is from the annotation of a GenBank genome assembly. NCBI's taxonomy places the organism in Eukaryota, Metazoa, Mollusca, Cephalopoda, Sepiida, Sepiidae.
GUUGAAACACCAGUUCACGUAAAAUCAACGAAGUUAAGCAACGUUGAGUCUGGUCAGUAUCUAGAUGAGUAACCGCCUGGGAAUACCAGGUACCGU